This 253-nucleotide ribosomal RNA is filed under the name uncultured bacterium. Its description in RNAcentral is "partial 16S ribosomal RNA". It matches the Rfam family "Bacterial small subunit ribosomal RNA", at positions 524 to 776 of the family's 1533-position model. The record is from RNAcentral.
UACGUAGGGUGCAAGCGUUGUCCGGAAUUAUUGGGCGUAAAGAGCUCGUAGGCGGUCUGUUGCGUCGGCUGUGAAAACCCGGGGCUCAACCCCGGGCCUGCAGCCGAUACGGGCAGACUAGAGUUCGGCAGGGGAGACUGGAAUUCCUGGUGUAGCGGUGAAAUGCGCAGAUAUCAGGAGGAACACCGGUGGCGAAGGCGGGUCUCUGGGCCGACACUGACGCUGAGGAGCGAAAGCGUGGGGAGCGAACAGG